GGUAUUUGGGCCAACCUCCCAUCCGUGUCUAUUGUACCCUGUUGCUUCGGCGGGCCCGCCGCUUGUCGGCCGCCGGGGGGGCGCCUCUGCCCCCCGGGCCCGUGCCCGCCGGAGACCCCAACACGAACACUGUCUGAAAGCGUGCAGUCUGAGUUGAUUGAAUGCAAUCAGUUAAAACUUUCAACAAUGGAUCUCUUGGUUCCGGCAUCGAUGAAGAACGCAGCGAAAUGCGAUAACUAAUGUGAAUUGCAGAAUUCAGUGAAUCAUCGAGUCUUUGAACGCACAUUGCGCCCCCUGGUAUUCCGGGGGGCAUGCCUGUCCGAGCGUCAUUGCUGCCCUCAAGCCCGGCUUGUGUGUUGGGUCGCCGUCCCCCUCUCCGGGGGGACGGGCCCGAAAGGCAGCGGCGGCACCGCGUCCGAUCCUCGAGCGUAUGGGGCUUUGUCACAUGCUCUGUAGGAUUGGCCGGCGCCUGCCGACGUUUUCCAACCAUUCUUUCCAGGUUGACCUCGGAUCAGGUAGGGAUACCCGCUGAACUUAAGCAUAUCAAUAAGCGGAGGAA
This 559-nucleotide ribosomal RNA is filed under the name fungal sp. SNB-LAP1-7-59. RNAcentral describes it as "eukaryotic LSU rRNA". The stretch from base 176 to 329 matches the Rfam family "5.8S ribosomal RNA". The record is from RNAcentral. Lineage: Eukaryota; Fungi.